CUAGGAAUGCCAGAAUCACCUCCGCAGAUAUGGAAAUGUGAAUCUGGAACUGGUGACUCGAAUCAUUAGAGAUGGUGGCCCAUGGGAAGAUCCAGUGUUGCAAGCUGUCCUUAAAGCUCAGCCAGCAUCUCAGGAGAUAGUGAACAAAUAUUUAAGUUCUGAAAAUCCACUGUUCUUUGAACUACGUGCCAGAUACCUAAUUGCUUGUGAACGCAUACCCGAAGCAAUGGCUCUUAUUAAAUCUUGUAUAAAUCACCCAGAAAUCAGUAAAGACUUAUACUUCCAUCAAGCACUCUUCACAUGUCUGUUUAUGUCA
This 316-nucleotide long non-coding RNA is filed under the name Pan troglodytes (chimpanzee). RNAcentral's name for it is "long non-coding RNA NONPTRT011485". The record is from RNAcentral. Lineage: Eukaryota; Metazoa; Chordata; Mammalia; Primates; Hominidae.